RNAcentral lists this ribosomal RNA (593 nucleotides) under Bacillus toyonensis. RNAcentral's name for it is "bacterial SSU rRNA". It matches the Rfam family "Bacterial small subunit ribosomal RNA", at positions 145 to 735 of the family's 1533-position model. Lineage: Bacteria; Bacillati; Bacillota; Bacilli; Caryophanales; Bacillaceae. The record is from RNAcentral.
AACUCCGGGAAACCGGGGCUAAUACCGGAUAUCAUUUUGAACUGCAUGGUUCUAAAUUGAAAGGCGGCUUCGGCUGUCACUUAUGGAUGGACCCGCGUCUCAUUAGCUAGUUGGUGAGGUAACGGCUCACCAAGGCAACGAUGCGUAACCGACCUGAGAGGGUGAUCGGCCACACUGGGACUGACACACGGCGGGAGGCAGCAGUAAGGAAUCUUCCGCAAUGAACGAAAGUCUGACGGACCACCGCCGCGUGAGUGAUGAAUGCUUUCCGGUCGUAAAACUCUGUUGUUAAGAAAAAACAAGUGCUAAUUGAAUAAGCUGGCACCUUGACGGUACCUAACCAGAAAGCCACGGCUAACUACCUGCCACCACCCGCGGUAAUACGUAGGUGGCAAGCGUUAUCCGGAAUUAUUGGGCGUAAAGCGCGCGCAGGUGGUUUCUUAAGUCUGAUGUGAAAGCCCACGGCUCAACCGUGGAGGGUCAUUGGAAACUGGCAUACUUGAGUGCAAAAAAGGAAAGUGUAAUUCCAUGUGUAGCGGUGACAUGCAUAUAGAUAUGGAGGAACACCAGUGGCGAAAGCUACUUUCUGGUCU